AUGGCGGACUGGGCGGGGCUCCACGAGGACUUCCUCCUCCUGCUCGUCCCGCGCCUCCCCUCCCUCGACCUCCGCACCUUCCGCGCCGUCUGCGCCUCCUGGCGCGCCGCCGCGGCCACCUUCGCCUCGGCCGGCGGCCGCCCGCGCCCCGACCGCCCCUGGCUCCUCCUCCCCGCCGACGCGCCCGACCCGGAAUUUCGCCGCCUCGUCAUCCGCCGCGACCGCGAGGUCCCCGUCGUCGCCCUCCCCGCGCGCCUCGGGCGCGCGCACGACCGCCGCUUGUUCCCCCUCGGGUCCUCCCGCGGCGUCAUCGUGGCCGCCGACGACCGCGGGGCCAUGCACCUGCUCGACCUCUCCACCGGUAGGCGCGCGCCUCUGCCCCCCGUCGCGGCGCUCCCCCUCGCCGACCGCGUCGAAAGGACCCCUGCCGGCCUCACUGUCCACCUCAAACGCGACCCACGGGUGUACUCUAUCGACGGCCUGAUCCACCGCGAGGACACCCUGAUCCGCAAGGCCGUCCCGGUGCCCACGCCCGGCGGCGGGGCGAUGGUGAUCGUCAUCUACUACCCAGAGGGCCAUCGCCACCAGUGGGCCACCGCUCGUCCCGGCGACAGCGCCUGGAAAUCCGUGAAGCCGAGCAGCAUCCCCGCCGUGGUGGACCUGGCGCUCCACCGCGGCCAGCUCUACGCCAACACCCUCUUCGGGAUGGUGUACGUCUACCCGGAGCUGCACGGGCUGGGCUCCGCGUCCCCGGAUAUCAUCCCGUCCAUGACUCGGAGGCCUACCUCGGGCUUGAAGAGCAGCUUACUCGUGCAGACCCCGGGAGGCGGCGCGCUGAUGCAGGUGGAGUUCGUCCGCCCCGCGGUGGAUGGCGAGGGCGGGGAGUUCGUGGUUCGCGUGCUGGACGAGUGCGGCGGGACGUGGGAGGAGGAGGAGGACAUCGGCGACGUGGCGGUGCUCGUGGACGCGUCGGGCGCGGUGGCCGUGUCCACGAGGGAGUGCCCCGGGCUGAGGCCCAGCACCAUCUACUACGCGGACCUCUACGGUGGUGAGACACGGGUUCGGGCGUACAGCCUCGCCGGCAAGCACAAGAAGGUCGAGGUCGUCGAGUCCCUCCCCAGGGCGGAGGGAAACAACCGGCCGUGCUUCUGGUUCACGCCGGUCUAUUCACAGUGA
Molecule: ribosomal RNA, 1176 nt
Filed under: Triticum aestivum (bread wheat)
Lineage: Eukaryota; Viridiplantae; Streptophyta; Magnoliopsida; Poales; Poaceae
Description: partial small subunit ribosomal RNA
Source: RNAcentral